RNAcentral lists this unclassified non-coding RNA (245 nucleotides) under fungal sp. Its description in RNAcentral is "partial contains 5.8S ribosomal RNA, internal transcribed spacer 2, and large subunit ribosomal RNA". The record is from RNAcentral. Lineage: Eukaryota; Fungi.
CGCACAUUGCGCCCUUUGGUAUUCCUUAGGGCAUGCCUGUUCGAGCGUCAUUUAAACCCUCAAGCUCUGCUUGGUGUUGGGUGCCUGUCCUGUCUCUGGCAUGGACUCACCUAGAAGACAUUGGCGGUCAGAGUGGUAGCUAGAAGCGCAGCACAGAUGCGCCUAGUUAAUCAUUCGAGUCUACCUCCAAGAAGCUACAUCAUUAUCUUGACCUCGGAUCAGGUAGGGAUACCCGCUGAACUUAA